This 431-nucleotide long non-coding RNA is filed under the name Phoenix dactylifera (date palm). RNAcentral's name for it is "long non-coding RNA (PDAC_LNC001445)". The record is from RNAcentral. Lineage: Eukaryota; Viridiplantae; Streptophyta; Magnoliopsida; Arecales; Arecaceae.
UUGGUGGAGGGCCAGGAGGCUUGUAAGGUUUUGGUGGCAGAGGUUUGUAUUUUGGUGGUAAUGGUGUCAGUGGCGACUUGUAUGGCUUCGGUGGUGAAGGUUUAUACUGUGGUCGUGGUGCCUUGUACUUUGGAGGCGACGCUGUUGGAGGCUUGUAUGGCUUCGGUGGCGGAGGUUUGUAUUUUGGUGGUGGCGGCUUGUACUUUGGAGGCGACGGUGGUGGAGGCUUGGACGUCUUCGGCGGCAAAGGUUUAUAUUUCGGUGGCGGCGGCUUGUAUUUCGUUGGCGGCAGCAGCGGAGACUUGCAUGGUUUUGGUGGUGAAGGUUUAUGUUCGGGAGAUGGUGGUGGUGGCGGCUUGUAAAUUGGAGGUAGUGGAGACUUGUAUGGCUUCGGUGGUGGAGGUUUAUAUUUCAGUGGUGGUGGCUUAUAU